This 253-nucleotide ribosomal RNA is filed under the name uncultured prokaryote. RNAcentral describes it as "partial 16S ribosomal RNA". It matches the Rfam family "Bacterial small subunit ribosomal RNA", at positions 525 to 777 of the family's 1533-position model. The record is from RNAcentral.
ACGGAGGGAGCUAGCGUUGUUCGGAAUUACUGGGCGUAAAGCGCGCGUAGGCGGCUUUGUAAGUUAGAGGUGAAAGCCCGGGGCUCAACCCCGGAAUUGCCUUUAAGACUGCAUCGCUUGAAUCCGGGAGAGGUGAGUGGAAUUCCGAGUGUAGAGGUGAAAUUCGUAGAUAUUCGGAAGAACACCAGUGGCGAAGGCGACACACUGGCUCACUACUGACGCUGAGGCGCGAAAGCGUGGGGAGCAAACAGGA